This 424-nucleotide ribosomal RNA is filed under the name uncultured prokaryote. RNAcentral describes it as "partial 16S ribosomal RNA". It matches the Rfam family "Bacterial small subunit ribosomal RNA", at positions 355 to 796 of the family's 1533-position model. The record is from RNAcentral.
UGGGGAAUUUUCCGCAAUGGGGGGAACCCUGACGGAGCAACGCCGCGUGCGGGAGGACGGCCUGUGGGUUGUAAACUGCUUUUGUUGGGGAAGACAUGGACGGUACCCAGCGAAUAAGCCCCGGCUAACUCCGUGCCAGCAGCCGCGGUAAGACGGAGGGGGCAAGCGUUGUCCGGACUCACUGGGCGUAAAGGGCGUGCAGGCGGCUCUGUGCGUCGGCGCUGAAAGCGCCCGGCUUAACCGGGCGAGGUGCGUCGAUACGAUGGAGCUUGAGGCAAGGAGAGGCUAGCGGAAUUCCGGGUGUAGUGGUGAAAUGCGUAGAGAUCCGGAGGAACGCCCGUGGCGUAAGCGGCUAGCUAGUCUUGACCUGACGCUGAGGCGCGAAAGCGUGGGGAGCGAACCGGAUUAGAUACCCGCGUAGUCC